CUAGCCAUAAACCUAAAUAGUUCCAACAACAUAACUAUUCGCCAGAGGACUACUAGCAAUAGCUAAAAACUCAAAGGACUUGGCGGUGCUUUAUACCCC
Molecule: ribosomal RNA, 99 nt
Filed under: vertebrate environmental sample
Lineage: Eukaryota; Metazoa; Chordata
Description: partial 12S ribosomal RNA
Source: RNAcentral